Long non-coding RNA from Sebastes umbrosus (honeycomb rockfish), 660 nucleotides. RefSeq lists it as uncharacterized. The record is from RefSeq and is a predicted model, not a curated record. Lineage: Eukaryota; Metazoa; Chordata; Actinopteri; Perciformes; Sebastidae. The transcript has 3 exons.
GGAGUAUUCCUCUACCUGUUGGGAGGUUGGUGAUGAACCAAUCAGAAUGGAGUAUUCUACUACCUGCUGGGAGGUUGGUGAUGAACCAAUCAGAAUGGAGUAUUCUGCUACCUGCUGGGAGUGAGGACCGUGGUGGACGUGAUGCGUUCUAACCUCAACACAACCCUCUGAAACCAGAUGUUCACCAGAUGUUCAGCAGCCAGAAGAGCUUUACAGAUGCUCCAGUAGCUCCAGAGAACCCUCCACAUCUGUCCAACGCACAGUCAACAGAAUGCAGGAAACCAAGUCUCUGAGACUCUGAUGUUUCUGAGGGACCUCCAGACCUCCAGACCUUCAGACCUCCAGACCUCCAGACCUCCAGAUCUCCAGACCUCCAGACCUCCAGACCUCCAGACCUUCAGACCCCCCGCUGUGGUGUAGAAAUACUCCAUAUUUAUUCAUUUUAUUGUAUUACGUCUCGAUGCUGGAAAGUGUGACGAAAGUCAGGAUCAUUCAGCAGAGUUUGGGUUGAUGGAUUUGAACGGCAUUCAGCUGAUAAUACUUCCAUACUGUGUCUUCAGUGAGGUUUCAUACUGUACUUUUACUUGUAGUGGAGUAUUUCCACGGUGUGGUAUUAGUACUUUUACUUGUAGUGGAGUAUUUCCACGGUGUGGUAUUAGU